AGGACGUAGAGCUCAGGUGGUAAUGUGAGGGAUGGGGAAUGGCUGUAAAUACAAAUGAAACUUUGCUUGCUCACCUGUCACUCCCUGCUUUGCAGCCCAGUUCCUAACAGGCCAUGGAAUGGUACUGGUCCAUCUGAUUCCACUUAUCUGAGGUACUUAAAGGAGUCAAAAUUACAGGGACAAGAGAGUAGAAUUGCGUUUGCCAGGGGCUGGUGGGGUGGGGGAUCUGGGGAGUUACUGCUUAAUGGGUAUAGUUUCAGUUUUACAAGAUAAAGAGAAUUCUGGAGAUAGAUGCUGGUGAUGGUUGCACAACAUUUAUGAAUGUACAGUAUUUAAUACCAUGGAACCGUAUACUACAAAAUGGUUUUUAUGUUAUGUGUAUUUUAACACAAUAAAAAAAAUAAUGGAGGAAGUACUUAAUACCUUUGAUCAUCAAGGGAAUGAAAAUUAAAUCUACGGUGGAUUUCAUUUCACAAACAUUCCCAGGUGCUGAAAUAAAGUCUAGUAGCCCAAACAUUAACAAAGAUGUGAAACAGCUGGAACUUACACAGUGCUGAUGUGAGUGUAAAAUAUUUUGGAAAAGUACUUUGCAAUUUCUUUUUCAUUGUACUUUCCUCUACCUUAUUCAUGGCUCAUCAAUUUCACUUAGUUACCCAAGAGACAUGAAAAUGCAAGUUCACAAGAAAACUUAGACAAAGAAUGUUUAGAGCAACCUUAUUCAUAAUAACCAAAAACUAAUAACCUAAAUGUCUAUCAACAGGAAAACAGAUACAAUUUAAAAAUGAUACAUAUUCUUACAAUGGAAUACAACUCAGCAAUAAAAAGGAACAAACUGCUGGUAUACCUGACAACAUGAAUAAUACCGUCUACUACUUAUUACUCCACAGUACCUCCGCAUUUGAAGAUUGUCUUCCUGAGAAUAUAUCCAUGUGACUUGAUGGAAACUUGGAAAGCACCUUGAUCACAAAAGUAAUAUAUUCAAAGCCAAGUCCAAGGGCUAAAGUGGGAUACAAAAUGAGAAGUCUGGGGAGAUAAGCCUUGGGAGCUGAGAUCCUGCAUUGAAAACAAGAUGAACUAACUUCCCAGGCUGCAUAAGUGUUCACAUUUUUUAUUGAAUUGUUUCAGCAGAUUUGUUUCUUCUUUUGACCUCAAAAGUCAUUUGGAAACCUUAGGGAAACUUCAUGGCAUCUUUUCCGUUUUGCUUAUGGUUGUCAGGAGGGAUAGCAUCAGACCUUAACAGAGGUGGCUUCACCUUGCCUAGAGUAUCAAUAAUCUUAUCACAGAUUCACCCCUGUUCUUUCUCGUUUAGACUCUGAGGGUCCCACUUCAUUGUCAAUUUCAUUUGCAAUCACAGGUUUAGCAUAACAGCUAACCUUAUUUUUAGCUGAUGAUCUGGAACCCUUCACCUGACUUACAGGCAAACUCUUGUGUAUUUUUUGUUAGAAAAUCUUCAUAUCACCAUUAGCAAAUGCUUUACUAGUUUGUUUACUGGCCAUUAGCUGCUUCUCAAUAGUCCAGCUUGGGAGAUAUUUUCUUGGCAUUUUUGUUUUGCAUCUUGAGUUCUCAAGGUGAAUCAUUGCUAUUUUUAAUGGAUGCUGGAGGCAUUUUGUCAAAGGAUUCCUUUUGGUUCCUUCAUCUUCGUCAUCUGCUUCAUCUUCAUAAGUAUUAUUUCCUGGUAUUUCUGUAACUUUAGAAGCAUUUGCAUCUGUAUUGUCUUCUUCAUGGUUUCCUCAACUCUAUUUUUCAUUUCUAGUCCUUCCAGCAGGUUCUCUGUUGAACCUCUCAUGUUCUGGGAGUAGCUUUUCUAUGAUUCCUCUGGACCUCACUUCUUGAGGGAAAACUUAAACAAAGGGGGUCAUUGGGAUAAACCAUACUCCCUGUCACUCAGUUGGUUUCAAGGAUACAACUACUACUUAUCUUCCUCUUCCAUACCAAUUUCAAGUUCUCCUCUCCUUCAGCAGUUACUUCCACAGAUCUUAGUGGUAUAACCUGGAUGUGACCCAAAUCCUUAUUCCUGAUGAGAAAUAUAUAUUUAUUGGCAAUUACACAUACCUCAUGUGAUUGUUGUACAUGUCCUUCCACAGUUACAAGUAAGUCUCAAAAGACUCCCAAGUGGAUCACCUAGGGGCCACAUAUUUUUCUCUGCCCAUUACAUAAAAGUAGCCCUUCUUCUUCCUCUUGAUCUAGGUCAGUUACCCCUGCCAAGAUGGGGAUUCCUCUUCCUGCCUGCUGGUACCUUGAUACAAAGAGUCCAAAAUGCCAAAACAGUUGUCAUAGCUUGUAGUUCAAUGGGACCUUCCUUGUAUUUCCUGGCAAAAAUUCACCCCACUUUGGGGACCAGGACUUCUAAACCUUCAAAACCCAGAGUUUCAGGAAUAGAAAGCACAAAGUUCCCCAAUGAGUCAUUUGGGUGGAUGGUAAGUGGGGCCACUUCUGCUUCCUCUGCCUUUUUCCUGGACCCAUGUAUUCCUCCUAUUAGGGACAGUGCCUUUAGAGCUCCCUGAUUUAGUAUAUAUACUGAUCUUGAAAAGUGGCACUCUGUUCUUGCAGAAUAUUGCCUCCAAAUCGGUACUCCGGCUGCACCUUCAGUAGGCUGCCCAGUGCUGUCCCAGGCUGGUUGCUCCAGAUGGUGCAGUACGUGAUAAAACCAGUAGAUCCCUUAGUCAUUAGUUCAUACUCAUAACACCUUUACUAUGAAAUGGAUCCCCUGUUUGGACCCUAUGUUGAGUUGGAUACUAUACCUGUGAAUCAGGCCUUCUUUAAGCCUCUAGAUAGUGGUAUGGGCUGUGGCUCUGAAGCCAAGACAGGCAAACUCAUACCCAGAAUACAUAUGUAUCCCUAAAAGGAUGAACUGCUGGCCACUCCAGAAUGGAAAGGGCACAGUGUUGUUGACUUGCCACCAAGUGGCUGGUUUAUCUUCUCAAGUAAUAGGGCCAUAUCAGGGACUCGGGGUUGGUCUCUGUUGCUGGCAAAUUAGACCUUCAGAGACAAAUAGCUAUAUUGGCCUUGGUAAGUGGGAAUUCGUACUCUUGGGCGCAUGUGUAGCCUUCGUCUCUGCACUCACAGUAGGCAGCCUCACAUGUUGCCUACAUGUGAACCAACGCAGUAUUCCUAGGUAUGGAAUUCGUUGCUUCCAGAACCUAAAGGCCCACCAGGCUUUGGGCUUCAUUAUAGUAGGAGAUGCAAGAUGCAGAAAUUUGUCUUUUAUUCUGGAGGGCAUGUCUCCACAGACCACUGACUACUGGACCUUGAAAAAACUUUACUGAAGUCACAAAUUCUUGAAUCUUCUUUGAGUGUAUCUCCCACUGUCUGGAUACAUGUCUUACCAAGACCUCUAGUAUACAAGUCACAUCUUGCUCAUCAUGCUCAGUCCGAAUAUUGUUGAUUUAACAUAUCAAUGUGAUGUUAUACACUGUAUGUCCAGACAGUCCAGAUCUCUUCUGACUGUAUUACAAUAGAGGGUAGAAAAGUUAACAUGGCCCUUGGACAAAGCUGGAAAUAAAUAUUGUCUCCUCCA
Macaca mulatta (Rhesus monkey) is the source of this 3517-nucleotide non-coding RNA. The record is from RefSeq and is a predicted model, not a curated record. Lineage: Eukaryota; Metazoa; Chordata; Mammalia; Primates; Cercopithecidae.